RNAcentral lists this ribosomal RNA (465 nucleotides) under uncultured bacterium. RNAcentral's name for it is "partial 16S ribosomal RNA". It matches the Rfam family "Bacterial small subunit ribosomal RNA", at positions 28 to 507 of the family's 1533-position model. The record is from RNAcentral.
GACGAACGCUGGCGGCGUGCUUAACACAUGCAAGUCGAACGGAAAGGCCCUGCUUGCGGGGUACUCGAGUGGCGAACGGGUGAGUAACACGUGGGUGUUCUGCCCUGCACUUCGGGAUAAGCCUGGAAAACUGGGUCUAAUACCGGAUAGGAGCCAUCUUUAGUGUGAUGGUUGGAAAGUUUUUUCGGUGUAGGAUGAGCUCGCGGCCUAUCAGCUUGUUGGUGGGGUAAUGGCCUACCAAGGCGGCGGCGGGUAGCCGGCCUGGGAGGGUGGACGGCCACAAUGGGGCUGAGAGACGGCCCAGACUCCGACGGGGGGCAGCAGUGGGGAAUAUUGCACAAUGGGCGGGAGGCUGAUGCAGCGACGGCGCGUGGGGGAAGACGGGCUUCGGGUUGGAAACUCCUUUCGCUAGGGACGAAGCUGUUUGUGACGGUACCUAGAUAAGAAGCACCGGCUAACUACGUG